RNAcentral lists this long non-coding RNA (1464 nucleotides) under Gallus gallus (chicken). RNAcentral describes it as "long non-coding RNA NONGGAT005062". Lineage: Eukaryota; Metazoa; Chordata; Aves; Galliformes; Phasianidae. The record is from RNAcentral.
GGAGAGAGCAGCCCAGGACCCCAACUCCUGCAGGGAGGGGCUGCAGGCACCGCACCCCCACCAGCACCACCCCACUGCAUCCCACCCCUCUUCCUGACAGCAGCACAAGGACAUUCGUACUGAAAUAAUUUAUUUUCUAACAAUCCAACAAUACAGAAGUAUACAUACACACGGCCAGGUCUGUCUAAAACACAUACUCUCUAAAAAAAAAACGCGUGUGCUAACUUGUAAGAAAAACAAAACAACAAAAAAAAUGAAGCACCAUUAUAUGGUCUUGACACAGGAUUCAUAGUGACGUGCUAUGUACAACGGGAAUUGAACGCCUGGAAAGGAAAUCUUUGCAUCCUCCCAUCUGCUGCUCCCCUUUCACUCUGUGUCUAUCGCUCAGAAGAUGCCAGAACUCAAAAGUGAUGCUAAAAAGCCAAGGAGUGGGGUCUGGGUCUCGGGGGCAAAUUAGAAGGAAAAAGGGGGGAAAAAAAUUAAAAUCAAUGGGAAGGGCAAUGAAAAUGCAUCAAAAGCCACUGAGGUGGGGAAGGCUCCUGAGGUGGGGAUGGAGAAGCCUCUGCUGCUGGCUUUGUUCUGCCCCAGGUUGAGGGAUGGGGAUGGGAUGAGAUGGGAUGGGGACCAACGCCCAGGGCUGGGGGCUUCCCCGUCCCCAAGCAGCGCGGUUUGGACUCGCACGUCUGUGUAAACGCAGGGGGUGCUCCUCGCUCCCCCCCUUUUUUCCAACAAUCUACAAAAAAAAAAAUCUCAUUGCUGCAGCUUAUCUCUGAGUAAUGCUGGUGGAUCCGUGAAUUCGAGGAAAGGCUGGCGGCCCCAGGACGCUGCUCCAAGCUCACCUGGAGUUUUGGGGGAAAAGCCUGUGGUUUUAGGUUCGAACUUCGUGCCCGUCCGACGGCAGCGCAUCGUUUGCCAAAGGUUUGAGUUUGUUGGGGUUUUUUUUUUUUUUUUCGAUGCCAACGCGUUGGAGAGGAGCACGUCCAAACAGUGCAAAGGUCAGCGGAGUACUGCUUCAUAUCGGGACAGAAAUCAAAUGAAAAGAGGGGAAAAAAAAAAAAAACAAAAAACCAACAAAAACCACAACCAAAACCAACACGCGGUGUUUCACCAAAAGAACGCGGUCAACCCAAAAAGGCACGACACAAAAAAUAACAAUGAAGAGUCUAAACCUUAACGCUCGGUACAACUAAGUGGAGAACGAAGCGCACGUUUCCUCCUGUUCCCCCUUGGAGUGCAUCCCCACCGCGCCGGGGUUGGAGUUGGGAUUUCGGCAGUGCUCAGAAGAAAGGGGCUGGAGAGGGCUUGAGCCAUCGUGUAUCAGAGCAGCGCGCCUCCAAGUGCAGAUACUCAGCUUUGCCCGUGGGUUGUUGUUUUCAUGGGGUGGGCUUCUGUGGGUUUCCAUGGGCUCUUGCCUUCUUGGAGUGGGUUUCCGUGGGUUUUUGUCUUUGGGAUUGGUUUCCGUGG